GAAGCUAGUGGUUGUGGAUCCUAUUUCUACAUAGCUAGUUCCUUGUGCAUUGUAUAGGUCAAAAAACUCUUGGGUGGAUUUGCUUCUGCUUCUUUGUAUCAGUCACUGAUCUGUAAAAUACUGUGCCAUUGACAAAUUUUUAUUACUCUAUGUAAUCUACUAGUUAUUGUAUCAUCUUCUACAGAAUGACAUCUGCUGACAUUUUUUCUCCAUUUCAUACAGAAUAUGAGAGAAGGAGUGUUCCCACUAAUGCACGUUGUUCUGACAAAAAUUUCACAGGGGAGUAUCAGGCUGACUUCAAAUCAUGCUCUAAUCUAUACGAGAAGGAAGAAGAUGAUUAUGAGACAAUAAAUUCUUCCACUCUGGAACCCAUACAUACUUUGAGAAUCCUUCCUCCCAAACCUGUACAGGAAUCUGAAUAUGCAGACAAACGUUAUCUGAUGCCUUCAGGUAUCACUUCCGAGAUGAGCAGCCAGCACCCCUCUCAGUCACCUCAAUACUUGGCUAAACGCACGUCUGCUCUAGAGGGGAGGAGCAUGCUGACUAUUAGAGGUAUAAUUAAAAAAUCUGUUUCUGCAAUCAGAAAUAGAAUAUGGUGAUUCCAUAUUUAGCUUUGUUAUAUAGGUACACAUUGAAGAUGAUAGAAAAGACAGUUUUCAGAACAGCAGCUGCUUUCCAAAUUAAACCUGCUGCAAAAUGUGGAAUGCUGUUUCGACAACCAAAUAUUUAAGUAAUUAUUUAACAAAGGAGAUACAUUUUAUCCCAUGAGCACCUUGUUUCUCAAUGGAAAUAUAUUUAUAAAAGCUAUCUGACAACGUUCUCCUACUCAGAACAUGCUAAAUCUAUAGUAUUACCUGGUAUAUAUUUGUUUCUCCACUGCGUUUGUUCUAUUUCUUGUGACAAAUUUGUAGACAGACUGCAAUCUUAUUCUUCAAGAACUUAAUG
This 945-nucleotide long non-coding RNA is filed under the name Anser brachyrhynchus (Pink-footed goose). RNAcentral's name for it is "lncRNA (ENSABRG00000001079.1)". Lineage: Eukaryota; Metazoa; Chordata; Aves; Anseriformes; Anatidae. The record is from RNAcentral.